This is a non-coding RNA of Acanthosepion pharaonis, 106 nucleotides long. NCBI's taxonomy places the organism in Eukaryota, Metazoa, Mollusca, Cephalopoda, Sepiida, Sepiidae. The record is from the annotation of a GenBank genome assembly.
UUACAGCCAUAUCACAUUGAAAAACCAGUUCCCAUGUGAUGAUCAAAGUUAAGCAACAUUGAGUCUGAUCAGUACCUAGAUGGGUGACUGCUUGGGAAUAACAGAU